CCCUUAGAUGUUCUGGGCCGCACGCGUGCUACACUGAGUAAUUCAAUGGGUAAGGGAACGCUAGAGCAUUACCUAAUCUUGAAAUUUGCUCGUGAUGGGGAUCGACGGUUGCAAUUUUCCGUCGUGAACGAGGAAUACCUUGUAGGCGCAUGUCAUCAUCAUGCGCCGAAUACGUCCCUGCCCUUUGUACACACCGCCCGUCGCUCCUACCGAUUGAGUGAUCCGGUGAGGCUCUGGGACCUGGACGGAAAGAGCGUUUCGCUUGUUCUAUUUGGGAAACUUGGUCGAACCUUAUCAUUUAGAGGAAGGAGAAGUCGUAACA
RNAcentral lists this ribosomal RNA (322 nucleotides) under uncultured eukaryote. Its description in RNAcentral is "partial 18S ribosomal RNA". It matches the Rfam family "Eukaryotic small subunit ribosomal RNA", at positions 1470 to 1796 of the family's 1831-position model. The record is from RNAcentral.